This 468-nucleotide ribosomal RNA is filed under the name uncultured bacterium. RNAcentral describes it as "partial 16S ribosomal RNA". It matches the Rfam family "Bacterial small subunit ribosomal RNA", at positions 28 to 507 of the family's 1533-position model. The record is from RNAcentral.
GACGAACGCUGGCGGCGUGCUUAACACAUGCAAGUCGAACGGAAAGGCCCUGCUUUUGUGGGGUGCUCGAGUGGCGAACGGGUGAGUAACACGUGAGUAACCUGCCCUUGACUUUGGGAUGACUUCAGGAAACUGGGGCUAAUACCGGAUAGGAUCUCCUGCUGCAUGGUGGGCGUUGGAAAGUUUCUGCGGUUGGGGAUGGACUCGCGGCUUAUCAGCUUGUUGGUGGGGUAGUGGCUUACCAAGGCUUUGACGGGUAGCCGGCCUGAGAGGGUGACCGGCCACAUUGGGCCUGAGAUACGGCCCAGACUCCUACGGUAGGCAGCAGUGGGGAAUAUUGUACAGUGGGCGGAAGCCUGAUGCAGCAACGCCGCGUGCGGGAUGACGGCAUUCGGGUUGUAAACCGCUGUCGCUUGUGACGAAGCGUGAGUGACGGUACUGGGUAAAGAAGCACCGGCUAACUACGUG